This 468-nucleotide ribosomal RNA is filed under the name uncultured bacterium. Its description in RNAcentral is "partial 16S ribosomal RNA". It matches the Rfam family "Bacterial small subunit ribosomal RNA", at positions 28 to 507 of the family's 1533-position model. The record is from RNAcentral.
GACGGACGCUGGCGGCGUGCUUAACACAUGCAAGUCGAACGGAAAGGCCCUGCUUUUGUGGGGUGCUCGAGUGGCGAACGGGUGAGUAACACGUGAGUAACCUGCCCUGGACUUUGGGAUAACUUCAGGAAACUGGGGCUAAUACCGGAUAGGAGCGCCUGCUGGAGGGUGGGGGUGGGAGAGUUUCGGCGGUUGGGGAUGGACUCGCGGCUUAUCAGCUUGUUGGUGGGGUAGUGGCUUACCAAGGCUUUGACGGGUAGCCGGCCUGAGAGGGUGACCGGCCACAUUGGGACUGAGAUACGGCCCAGACUCCUACGGGAGGCAGCAGUGGGGAAUAUUGCACAAUGGGCGGAAGCCUGAUGCAGCAACGCCGCGUGCGGGAUGACGGCCUUCGGGUUGUAAACCGCUUUCGCCUGUGACGAAGCGUGAGUGACGGUAAUGGGUAAAGAAGCACCGGCUAACUACGUG